GCCACUGUGGUAUAGUGCUUUGAGCACUGGUCUAUGACUCUGGAGACCAGGGUUCGAAUCCCAGCUCGGUCA
This 72-nucleotide transfer RNA is filed under the name Phrynosoma platyrhinos (Desert horned lizard). RNAcentral's name for it is "tRNA-OTHER". The record is from RNAcentral. Lineage: Eukaryota; Metazoa; Chordata; Lepidosauria; Squamata; Phrynosomatidae.